CACGCAGCACUGUAGCUGUGGAAGCAACUGCCAAGGACACCUGCCAGGUGAUGGGGCAAGAGGAAGAUUACGUUUCAUGGCCUGAGGUGUGAAUCUUGUGAUUGUCGUAUUUCAUCCUCCAUGAGGCUGGGGACACUCGGAACACAGAGAGCCUUCGUGGAGCAGCUUCCAGCUCCCCAGCUCAUUGUCUAGGUGUAACGUCUGGCUGUGAUGCAAAAACUGCUGCUCCGAGAGUGAAAAUAGUUGGCCCAGCAUUAUGAAGCUUGAAAUGACUCCCUGAGAUUUGAUUCCCAGACGCUACUUCCAGGAAAUCCGCUAUCCAGUGUGGAUGGAUUCCCUGCCGGGAAAGGAAACCAGAUGCCUUCACAGCAGGGAAGAGCUUGCUGCCUGACUUGCUGGCCAGGAGGAAUUUCAUUUCUCUGUGCUUCUGGGAUCUUGCACUUUAAUCAACUGGCUUCCUUAGCCACUAAUAAAGA
Molecule: long non-coding RNA, 476 nt
Organism: Chinchilla lanigera (long-tailed chinchilla)
Lineage: Eukaryota; Metazoa; Chordata; Mammalia; Rodentia; Chinchillidae
Exons: 3
Source: RefSeq, a predicted model, not a curated record